GGAUAAUUACUACAUUAUCUAAACCAAAUAAAACUCUUUGAGGCACUGGACAGUUAGCUCCUUGCAUCAAUCAGAUAUUGGGCGUCUGUUUAGGGCAGCUUCAAAGCGACUCAAGGAGUCUGCCCUCACCUCUGUACUCAUUUCAUUCUCUGGUGCGGGAUAAUAAUCUUCUCUCAGUUGUACAUCUCUUAAGUUAGGGAUCCUAAGAAAGAACAUCAUGAAAUGUUCA
RNAcentral lists this unclassified non-coding RNA (229 nucleotides) under Hevea brasiliensis (rubber tree). The record is from RNAcentral. Lineage: Eukaryota; Viridiplantae; Streptophyta; Magnoliopsida; Malpighiales; Euphorbiaceae.